This is a long non-coding RNA of Rosa chinensis, 748 nucleotides long. RefSeq lists it as uncharacterized. Lineage: Eukaryota; Viridiplantae; Streptophyta; Magnoliopsida; Rosales; Rosaceae. The record is from RefSeq and is a predicted model, not a curated record. The transcript is spliced from 2 exons.
CCGAGUUCUCCCUUUCUCCUCCCUCUCUUUUUUAGCCCUUUCGGGUUGAUUCAAGAUCCUUGAUUGAUUUCUCCGCACGAAUUCAAUUUCCACGAGCCUUUCAGCCUCUAUCUUUCUAGCUCAGCAUGUUGGGUGUGUAUUUCUUAACCGGGUCGGUCAUCCUCUUCAAGUUAGGAGUCUUCAAACUGACUCUCAAAUCCAAUUCUCGAGAGGUAGGAAUCAAAGUCCGCAGGACAACUCGUGCGCUCAUCGCUUGUCUUAUCGUAGGUGCUUUCGUGUUACAGCUCCUAGAGGGUAUCAGCUCCAGGGAUUUCUUUUCUUUCUUCAUGGGCUGUGGAGAUAUUUCUCCCAAAACAGACAAGGGCAGGUGGUUUGCAAGCUUUUGGAUACUUGUCAGUGUAUCACUGCUUUCCAAGGCUGUUCGCCACAUGAUUGAGUUUGUACUCGUCAGUGUUUAAGAGACAAUAGGCGUUGAAGAGGUAUCUUGAAUAUCAAGAAGCUUGAGCAAACAGUACACUUGUAACUAGAUGACUGCCUUGACUACAAAAAUAGUUUUAACAGUGAAGAAUAUGUGCGGUAUGCGAAGUCAACAUAACCUGAUCUGUGAUCAUCAGACAAACCUCAAAGCUACUUGUUUCAUUCCAAGUCUUUUCUCAUCAUUUUUGUUUACUUUUCCUUGUUGGUUUUGCUGUAAGUUUCAUGUUUGGUCUCCUUUAGGUUGUGCUCCUGACCAAAGGGCCCUAUUUCC